This 531-nucleotide ribosomal RNA is filed under the name uncultured bacterium. RNAcentral's name for it is "bacterial SSU rRNA". It matches the Rfam family "Bacterial small subunit ribosomal RNA", at positions 355 to 896 of the family's 1533-position model. The record is from RNAcentral.
UGGGGAAUAUUGCACAAUGGGCGCAAGCCUGAUGCAGCGACGCCGCGUGGGGGAUAACGGCCUUCGGGUUGUAAACUCCUUUCGCCAGGGACGAAGCGUUUUGUGACGGUACCUGGAGAAGAAGCACCGGCUAACUACGUGCCAGCAGCCGCGGUAAUACGUAGGGUGCAAGCGUUGUCCGGAAUUACUGGGCGUAAAGAGCUCGUAGGUGGUUUGUCACGUCGUCUGUGAAAUUCCACAGCUUAACUGUGGGCGUGCAGGCGAUACGGGCUGACUUGAGUACUGUAGGGGUAACUGGAAUUCCUGGUGUAGCGGUGAAAUGCGCAGAUAUCAGGAGGAACACCGAUGGCGAAGGCAGGUUACUGGGCAGUUACUGACGCUGAGGAGCGAAAGCAUGGGUAGCAAACAGGAUUAGAUACCCUGGUAGUCCAUGCCGUAAACGGUGGGCGCUAGGUGUAGGGGCCUUUUGGGGUUUCUGUGCCGUAGCUAACGCAUUAAGCGCCCCGCCUGGGGAGUACGGCCGCAAGGCUA